AGUGAACGCUGGCGGCAGGCCUAACACAUGCAAGUCGAGCGGCAGCGGGUCCUUCGGGAUGCCGGCGAGCGGCGGACGGGUGAGGAAUGCGUCGGAAUCUGCCUUUUUGUGGGGGAUAACGUAGGGAAACUUACGCUAAUACCGCAUACGACCUACGGGUGAAAGUGGGGGACCGCAAGGCCUCACGCAGAAAGAUGAGCCGACGUCGGAUUAGCUAGUUGGCGGGGUAAAGGCCCACCAAGGCGACGAUCCGUAGCUGGUCUGAGAGGAUGAUCAGCCACACUGGAACUGAGACACGGUCCAGACUCCUACGGGAGGCAGCAGUGGGGAAUAUUGGACAAUGGGCGCAAGCCUGAUCCAGCCAUGCCGCGUGUGUGUAGAAGGCCUUCGGGUUGUAAAGCACUUUUGUCCGGAAAGAAAUCCUGUCGGCUAAUACCCGGCGGGGAUGACGGUACCGGAAGAAUAAGCACCGGCUAACUUCGUG
Molecule: ribosomal RNA, 484 nt
Filed under: uncultured bacterium
Lineage: Bacteria
Description: partial 16S ribosomal RNA
Rfam family: Bacterial small subunit ribosomal RNA
Source: RNAcentral